UACGAAAGGUGCAAGCGUUACUCGGAAUCACUGGGCGUAAAGCGCACGUAGGCGGACUCGUAGGUCACUUGUGAAAUACCUGGGCUCAACCUGGGAACUGCAGUUGAAACCACUUGUCUUGAAUACCUGAGGGGGUGGGGGAAUACCUGGUGGAGAAGUGAAAUUCGUAGAGAUCAGGUGGAACACCGGAGGCGAAGGCGCCUGCCUGGCAGUGUAUUGACGCUGAGGUGCGAAAGUGCGGGGAGCAAACAGG
Molecule: ribosomal RNA, 253 nt
Filed under: uncultured bacterium
Lineage: Bacteria
Description: partial 16S ribosomal RNA
Rfam family: Bacterial small subunit ribosomal RNA
Source: RNAcentral